GGUUAAGUUAGAAAGGGCGCACGGUGAAUGCCUUGGCACUAGGAGCCGAUGAAGGACGGGACUAACACCGAUAUGCUUCGGGGAGCUGUAAGUGAGCUUUGAUCCGGAGAUUUCCGAAUGGGGAAACCCACUGUUCGUAAUGGAACAGUAUCUUUAUCUGAAUACAUAGGAUAUUGAAGGCAGACCCGGGGAACUGAAACAUCUAAGUACCCGGAGGAAGAGAAAGCAAAUGCGAUUUCCUGAGUAGCGGCGAGCGAAACGGAAUUAGCCCAAACCAAGAGGCUUGCCUCUUGGGGUUGUAGGACACUCUAUACGGAGUUACAAAGGAACGAAGUAAAUGAAGCGACCUGGAAAGGUCCGUCAAAGAAGGUAACAACCCUGUAGUUGAAACUUCGUUCCCUCUUGAGUGAAUCCUGAGUACGGCGGAACACGUGAAAUUCCGUCGGAAGCUGGGAGGACCAUCUCCCAAGGCUAAAUACUACCUAGUGACCGAUAGUGAACCAGUACCGUGAGGGAAAGGUGAAAAGCACCCCGGAAGGGGAGUGAAAGAGAUCCUGAAACCGUGUGCCUACAAGUAGUCAGAGCCCGUUAACGGGUGAUGGCGUGCCUUUUGUAGAAUGAACCGGCGAGUUACGAUCCCAUGCAAGGUUAAGCUGAUAAGGCGGAGCCGUAGCGAAAGCGAGUCUGAAUAGGGCGUUUAGUAUGUGGUUGUAGACCCGAAACCAGGUGAUCUACCCAUGUCCAGGGUGAAGUUCAGGUAACACUGAAUGGAGGCCCGAACCCACGCACGUUGAAAAGUGCGGGGAUGAGGUGUGGGUAGCGGAGAAAUUCCAAUCGAACCUGGAGAUAGCUGGUUCUCUCCGAAAUAGCUUUAGGGCUAGCCUCAUGUUGUGAGAGUCUUGGAGGUAGAGCACUGAUUGGACUAGGGGCCCCCCAACGGGUUACCGAAUUCAGUCAAACUCCGAAUGCCAAAGACUUAUCCAUGGGAGUCAGACUGCGAGUGAUAAGAUCCGUAGUCAAAAGGGAAACAGCCCAGACCACCAGCUAAGGUCCCCAAGUAUACGUUAAGUGGAAAAGGAUGUGGAGUUGCUUAGACAACCAGGAUGUUGGCUUAGAAGCAGCCACCAUUUAAAGAGUGCGUAAUAGCUCACUGGUCGAGUGACUCUGCGCCGAAAAUGUACCGGGGCUAAACGUAUCACCGAAGCUGUGGAUUGACAUCUUUGAUGUCAGUGGUAGGAGAGCGUUCUAAGUGCUGUGAAGUCAGACCGUAAGGACUGGUGGAGCGCUUAGAAGUGAGAAUGCCGGUAUGAGUAGCGAAAGACAAGUGAGAAUCUUGUCCACCGAAUGCCUAAGGUUUCCUGAGGAAGGCUCGUCCGCUCAGGGUUAGUCGGGACCUAAGCCGAGGCUGAAAAGCGUAGGCGAUGGCCAACAGGUUGAUAUUCCUGUACCACCUCCCCGCCGUUUGAGUAAUGGGGGGACGCAGUAGGAUAGGGUAAGCGCGCUGCUGGAUAUGCGCGUUCAAGCAGUUAGGCUGAUGAGUAGGCAAAUCCGCUCAUCAUAAAGGCUGAGCUGUGAUGACGAGGGAAUUAUAGUACCGAAGUUCCUGAUUCCACACUGCCAAGAAAAGCCUCUAGCGAGGCGGGAGGUGCCCGUACCGCAAACCGACACAGGUAGGCGAGGAGAGAAUCCUAAGGUGAUCGAGAGAACUCUCGUUAAGGAACUCGGCAAAAUGACCCCGUAACUUCGGGAGAAGGGGUGCUCUGGUAGGGUGUAUAGCCCGAGAGAGCCGCAGUGAAUAGGCCCAGGCGACUGUUUAGCAAAAACACAGGUCUCUGCGAAGCCGCAAGGCGAAGUAUAGGGGCUGACGCCUGCCCGGUGCUGGAAGGUUAAGAGGAGGGGUUAUCCUUUGGGAGAAGCUCUGAAUCGAAGCCCCAGUAAACGGCGGCCGUAACUAUAACGGUCCUAAGGUAGCGAAAUUCCUUGUCGGGUAAGUUCCGACCCGCACGAAAGGCGUAACGAUCUGGGCACUGUCUCAACGAGAGACUCGGUGAAAUUAUAGUACCUGUGAAGAUGCAGGUUACCCGCGACAGGACGGAAAGACCCCGUGGAGCUUUACUGUAGCCUGAUAUUGAAUUUUGGUACAGCUUGUACAGGAUAGGUAGGAGCCUGAGAAGCCGGAGCGCUAGCUUCGGUGGAGGCGUCGGUGGGAUACUACCCUGGCUGUAUUGAAAUUCUAACCCGCGGCCCUGAUCGGGCCGGGAGACAGUGUCAGGUGGGCAGUUUGACUGGGGCGGUCGCCUCCUAAAAUGUAACGGAGGCGCCCAAAGGUUCCCUCAGAAUGGUUGGAAAUCAUUCGUAGAGUGUAAAGGCACAAGGGAGCUUGACUGCGAGACCUACAAGUCGAGCAGGGACGAAAGUCGGGCUUAGUGAUCCGGUGGUUCCGCAUGGAAGGGCCAUCGCUCAACGGAUAAAAGCUACCCCGGGGAUAACAGGCUUAUCUCCCCCAAGAGUCCACAUCGACGGGGAGGUUUGGCACCUCGAUGUCGGCUCAUCGCAUCCUGGGGCUGUAGUCGGUCCCAAGGGUUGGGCUGUUCGCCCAUUAAAGCGGUACGCGAGCUGGGUUCAGAACGUCGUGAGACAGUUCGGUCCCUAUCCGUCGUGGGCGUAGGAAAUUUGAGAGGAGCUGUCCUUAGUACGAGAGGACCGGGAUGGACACACCGCUGGUGUACCAGUUGUCUUGCCAAAGGCAUCGCUGGGUAGCUAUGUGUGGACGGGAUAAGUGCUGAAAGCAUCUAAGCAUGAAGCCCCCCUCAAGAUGAGAUUUCCCAUAGCGCAAGCUAGUAAGAUCCCUGAAAGAUGAUCAGGUUGAUAGGUCAGAGGUGGAAGCGUGGCGACAUGUGUAGCUGACUGAUACUAAUCGAUCGAGGACUUAACCAA
RNAcentral lists this ribosomal RNA (2937 nucleotides) under Priestia aryabhattai. RNAcentral's name for it is "23S ribosomal RNA". It matches the Rfam family "Bacterial large subunit ribosomal RNA". Lineage: Bacteria; Bacillati; Bacillota; Bacilli; Caryophanales; Bacillaceae. The record is from RNAcentral.